RNAcentral lists this ribosomal RNA (516 nucleotides) under uncultured bacterium. RNAcentral describes it as "bacterial SSU rRNA". It matches the Rfam family "Bacterial small subunit ribosomal RNA", at positions 36 to 518 of the family's 1533-position model. The record is from RNAcentral.
CUGGCGGCGUGCCUAAUACAUGCAAGUCGAGCGCGGGAAGCGACCUGAAUCCCUUCGGGGAUGACGAUCGUGGAACGAGCGGCGGAUGGGUGAGUAACACAUGGGCAACCUGCCUGUAAGCUUAGGAUAACUCGUGGAAACAUGAGCUAAUACUAAAUGAUUCGAUCAUCACCUGAUGAAUCGAUAAAAGAUGGCGUAAGCGAUCACUUACAGAUGGGCCCGUGGCGCAUUAGCUAGUUGGUAAGAUAAAAGCUUACCAAGGCAACGAUGCGUAGCCGACCUGAGAGGGUGAUCGGCCACACUGGGACUGAGACACGGCCCAGACUCCUACGGGAGGCAGCAGUAGGGAAUCUUCCGCAAUGGACGCAAGUCUGACGGAGCGACGCCCGCGUGAGUGAUGAAGGUCUUCGGAUCGUAAAACUCUGUUGUUAGGGAAGAACAAGUAAUGUUCAAAUAGGGCAUUACCUUGACGGUACCUAACCAGAAAGCCCCGGCUAACUACGUGCCAGCCGCCGC